GAACUGUGGGGACACGUAAGGAAAGCGGAAGCCGGGAAUGGAAAGCCCGGUGCAAGCGGGGUACCAGUCACUUUGGCAAAUCCGGGUGGCAAUGGGAAGCCGUGAUGCGGAGUGAAAUAAAGUAACGAAGUCCGUGAGCCAUGCGUCAAGAAAAGCCGCUAUCGUUUAUACCGUACCCGUACCGUAAACCGACACAGGUGGAUGAGGAGAGAAUCCUAAGGCCGGCGGAAGAAGCAUUGUCAAGGAACUCGGCAAAAUGGCCCCGUAACUUAGGGAUAAGGGGUGCCUGGGAAACCAGGCCGCAGAGAAUAGGCUCAAGCAACUGUUUAGCAAAAACACAGGUCUAUGCGAAACCGAAAGGUGAGGUAUAUGGGCUGACGCCUGCCCGGUGCUGGAAGGUUAAGAGGAGAGGUUAGCGCAAGCGAAGCUUUGAAUUUAAGCCCCAGUAAACGGCGGCCGUAACGAUAACGGUCCUAAGGUAGCGAAAUUCCUUGUCGGGUAAGUUCCGACCCGCACGAAAGGCGUAAUGAUUUGAGCGCUGUCUCGACAAUGCAUCCGGUGAAAUUGAAGUACCAGUGAAGAUGCUAGUUACCUGCGCCAGGACGGAAAGACCCCAUGGAGCUUUACUCCAGUUUGGUACUGGGACUCGGUAUUGCAUGUACAGGAUAGGUGGGAGGCUAGGAGACAGUAACGCCAGUUAUUGUGGAGCCGCUGUUGGGAUACCACCCUUGCAGUAUUGGGUUUCUAACCAGCCGCCGUGACCCGGCGGUGGGACAAUGCCAGACGGGGAGUUUGACUGGGGCGGUCGCCUCCGAAAGGGUAUCGGAGGCGCCCAAAGGUUCCCUCAGAAUGGACGGAAACCAUUCGAAGAGUGCAAAGGCAGAAGGGAGCUUGACUGCGACACCGACGGGUGGAGCAGGUACGAAAGUAGGGCUUAGUGAUCCGGUGGUAUUAAGUGGGAAUGCCAUCGCUCAACGGAUAAAAGCUACCCUGGGAUAACAGGCUUAUCACUCCCAAGAGUUCACAUCGACGGAGUGGUUUGGCACCUCGAUGUCGGCUCAUCGCAUCCUGGGGCUGUAGUAGGUCCCAAGGGUUGGGCUGUUCGCCCAUUAAAGCGGUACGCGAGCUGGGUUCAGAACGUCGUGAGACAGUUCGGUCCCUAUCCGGCGUGGGCGUAGGAUAUCUGAGAGGAGCUGUCCUUAGUACGAGAGGACCGGGAUGGACGGGCCGCUGGUGCAUCGGUUAGACUGCCAAGUCUACGGCCGAGUAGCCAAGCCCGGAAGGGAUAAACGCUGAAGGCAUCUAAGCGUGAAGCCCCCCUUAAGAUGAGAUAUCCCAUUCGAAAGAAGUAAACCCCCUUGAAGACGACGAGGUAGAUAGGGCAGAGGUGGAAGUGUGGUAACACAUGGAGCUGACUGUUACUAAUCGGGUGAGGGCUUGA
This 1441-nucleotide ribosomal RNA is filed under the name metagenome. Its description in RNAcentral is "bacterial LSU rRNA". It matches the Rfam family "Bacterial large subunit ribosomal RNA", at positions 1461 to 2925 of the family's 2925-position model. The record is from RNAcentral.